Molecule: ribosomal RNA, 305 nt
Filed under: Bacillus sp. Expt1_482A4_P9WS_G09
Lineage: Bacteria; Bacillati; Bacillota; Bacilli; Caryophanales; Bacillaceae
Also listed under: 2 other names
Description: bacterial SSU rRNA
Rfam family: Bacterial small subunit ribosomal RNA
Source: RNAcentral
UGGUUGUCGUCAGCUCGUGUCGUGAGAUGUUGGGUUAAGUCCCGCAACGAGCGCAACCCUUGAUCUUAGUUGCCAGCAUUCAGUUGGGCACUCUAAGGUGACUGCCGGUGACAAACCGGAGGAAGGUGGGGAUGACGUCAAAUCAUCAUGCCCCUUAUGACCUGGGCUACACACGUGCUACAAUGGACAAUACAAAGGGUUGCGAGACCGCGAGGUGGAGCGAAUCCCAUAAAAUUGUUCUCAGUUCGGAUUGCAGGCUGCAACUCGCCUGCAUGAAGCCGGAAUCGCUAGUAAUCGCGGAUCAG